CACCUUCUUCCAGAAAUUAGGCAGACUGCCGUGGUUUUUUGUUUGUUUGUUUGAAUGCUUUUCUUCUACAUACUGGACAGCUGUUAAACUCAUCAGAUUUCAAAAAAAUUUAGUAUGGUUCAUUACAGCAGUAAGUAAUUACUCAUUAAUUGUGGCAAUAAGUGAAACUGAUCACAAGCAUGCUUAAAGAGAGUAUGUUGUUAACGUAGGAGAUCUGGAAGUUCAAAAAACAUCACCUUAUUCUGCUUCUCUCCCUGGUUUUAUGGAUAGCAUGGUAGUUUCCAUCCUCAUCUGUACCCUCCACUGAUCUCUGCUUAUUUUUCUGUUAAUGGUGGUUAUUUCCAUUGUUUGCUGGUGUCCUCUGUCAGUGUUGCCACUUGGUUUUCCUGCUGUGCCCAGGUGGUAACACCAAGGGGUGUUUCGGGCUGCUAUGUGUGAUAAGGCAAUCCCUGCAGAAUUCAUUUCAUACUCUCUGUUUAUACGUAUUACAUGGUAGUUGUUGGAAACAUUUGAAAUAACUUAAUCUUUACGGUCUGUUUCAUUGUUUUUAUGAGGUACAGUCUCUGUUCAGAGAAAAAGAAAGAUCAAGAAACUAAAUUUGAACUGGGUCUUUGAGGUUCAGAAAGCAGCAUAAAAUGUCACCAAUGUUACAACCCACUUCCCCUCAUACCCCUGUUUUUGCAAAACAGCUCUUCUGCACUGUGCAAUGAAUGCCUGCCUCUAACCCCAAACAUGGCCUUUUCUGUUUGGUGUCUGUCUUGAACCAGACACUAUCCAGAUGUGGACUAUCACAGUUUCAGCAAGCUGUAAAACAAAAGAAAAGGAAAAAAAUUCUGUGGAAGUGGACAAGUUUUGCUGGUCGUAUUAAACUCACUGUCAACACUUAACAAUAUCAGACUGCAGCUCUGGAUAAAACUUUUCCUCUUGGUUUGGAUGGGCUGUACAAAAAAAAAAAAAAAAGUGUGAAGAUGUGGUUUUGUCCCCCAGUGACAGCUGUGAUCGCUGAAACACUGAAAACUGAAGUGGCUUGUCCAGAGUUUGUGUUGGGAACAGAAUGCUACGUGGUUUGACUUCAUAAAUAUUACCAUGUCUUCGGAAUAUUUUUCCCAAGCAGGGGGUGUUUGCUGUGUUGUUGGUGUAUUUGUUGCCAUUUUGCUUGCUUUAAAUAAGCAUAAAUUAAGGUUGGAGUAAAAUCCUGAUCGUGCCAACACACGUGAGUUCUUUUGUCAUUGACUGCAGGAGGCUGAAAUCUCACUGUUUACUCCUGUGCGCACGUCACUGAUGUUCAAACUAGGCAGAAGAUGGUUUAUUGUUUGAAGGAACCAUGUGGCCUAUCUUGCAGGUUUUAUUUUUCAAGGCAGUGAUCUUAACCAGACCCGCAGUCACAGCACUGAUGCUGCGCAGGAGGAAACCUAGUAGUACAGCACUUGGCAAUUCACAAGGCCAUAGCCUGUGUAUUCUGUAAUGGAUGGGAACUGUCCUACACAUCUUGCUUUAUGGAGAUACAAUGGGAUGAGGAGAGGGAUUGCAUCAUCUGCCUGUAUUUCACAGCUUGUGCAGCAGGGGAAAGGAAUGGAAUAAAUCAACAUGUUGCUUUUAUCAAAUAAACCUUUGUGAUGUGGCCUGGUCAGAAGAAUUUUAUAUUCCCUUUAUCUAAGCCGUCUGUAAAGAAUGUCUCAUCCCCUUUUUCCUCUCAAGGAUUUUUUUUUAAGGCAUUCCAAAUCACUUUAUCAGAACAAGUGAUAAAGGAAGAAGCUGUUUUCAACAGUUUGCAAGACUUAGAGCUGAGAGUAUCUAACAUCUUACAUGAAGUAAUUUGAAAGCCUCCUCAAUCUGAAAUUGCAGCAGGGCCUCUCUUUCUUCUGUAAGUGCUGUCCCAAACACAGCCUCUCUUCCUGUACUGUAAUGUGGACUCAGAGAAGGGAGAGAUUCUGCCCCAGUGCUACCCAGAGCUGAGGGGGCGAGAGGGGUGUAAGAAGCUAUUUGUGGUAGCAAGGGCAGCUGUUUGAGAAAAAUCUAGGGGCUGGAGGUCAGGUUUUAGCAGGCAAAAGUAUUUUCAGCUCUUCUGAUGUCAUUAAGCAUGGAGCAGUGACUACUUUUUUCAGAUUUCACCAAGGAUUGCCUCAUCCUACUCAUAUCUUACUGCUGUUUUUCAGUAUUUCUUUAAAAUGUGGUUGGAUUUUUUUCUUCCAGGAGGAAAAUGUACAGUAAAAAGGAAAGUUCUGCUUGACUUUUGAGACUGCCCUGACUGCUGUCAGGAUACAUACUGUAUGUUAAAUGCAGUUAGAUCCUUUUGAUCCCUUUUUAGUGAAAUCUCUCAUUGGCUUUCCAGAUGACAAGAUCAGGGAUAAGUUUUGUUGUUGCUGGGUUUUGUUCCCCCGUUAGGCAGACUGAUGCAUAUUAGCUAAAGAUCCUAAAUCAAAAAGCAAAAAACUCCUGUCAAUCCUUUAAGCUUGAAAAUGCAUUCAGAUAUUGGAGGAUGAGUAGGUAUGGAAUUGUUUAAUCUCUCAGAGCUGCUUCUGGAUCAAACAGUUCCUUCUGCAGACCUUACAAGAGGCUGUAUUUUAAAGAGAGGUUGCUGUAGUGCUUCUGCCCUCACCCAGAUCACUGCUGAAGCUAAGUGGGGGUUAAAGUGGGGGGACCUAUGGAAAGUCACAUCCAUGGCAAAGGGGAAUGAAACCACUGUCUGCCACGAGACAGAUACCCGUUGUUGCUGCUAAGUGCUAGAUGGCUGUCUGCUGUGCUGCUGGGCAGUAAUGGAAGGAACCUGGCUAUGCAAAUGGUCAGCAUCUUUUUUUUUUUUCUCUUCAUUAUAGCCCAGGAGAUCUUAAAGGGCAAUGAAAAUUGAACUGCACUUAUGACUGAGAAAAAAUGGGAUUAGAAAAACCUUCUGUGGAAAUCCCUUUCUUUGAGUGGUUCUAGGUACUGAAGGAUUCAACUCUGAGUCGCUCAUAUUCUUGUCAACGUUUGGUAACCCAUUAACAUCUGCAGGCUGAGGUUUGGAGGUCUCUGUUCUGGUUUUGAUUUUGAUUUACUAAGGAAAUUGCUUUGUGUUGUAAUUGGAAUUUCACGUUUGAAGUGUUUCUUAAAAACACAGUUCUAUGUAGGGUUAAUAUUUAUAAUUUGUUUAAAAGUCCUUACAUGUGUUAUUAAAUAAGAGCUUUAAAAGAUUAAAGCCAACGGUUUCACACAGUGAAUUUAAUUGUAGCUUUUGUGGCUUUUUUUCAGUUUUGCUUUUGUACUUCACAGCCUGGCUAACAAGAAUUAGGUAUAUUUUUCUUUUCUGAUAAGCAAUUGCAUGUUGCUUGUUUGGGACACAAUUUUUUUUUGCUUUAGAAGUUGUCUUGCCAUUUUUUGCAGGAGUAAUCUUUUCACCUUCCUCUACCUUGUUGCAAACUAUGUUUCAGGGGCCAAUUUAACUUGACAGUGUUAUUUUAGAUGUAGGCUUUGUUAAAUAUCUACAAUUAAAGUCAUUCAUGUAAGUGAGAAGUUUUCUUGAGAAUUUGGCUUUCAGUACCAGAGAUGCCGGAAAAGAGCACCAGAGGUUUUACUGUGUUGGAAGAACACUGAAGUGCCAGCAAAGAGGAAGAUACCUUCACAUAAAAUAAUAAUGCUAGCAAAAAAAACAAUACUUGCAGCAGUAUCCUUCGGAUUUGGUUCACUUUGCUAAGAAGGGAAGUGUUUACUUGAGAAAGCAUCUGGAUUUUAUUGUUUUCUAAUUCAUUGUGGACAGCCUGAUGGAGUCUGGAACCAGUUAGAAUGUCACAACUUUUCAUUGUCAUAUGCAAUGUGGAAACGAAAUAAAGAGAGAUCCAACUUGCAGACUGUGUUGCCUGACCUCCUAAGUUUGUUAUGCUCUUCCUUCAAGAAAAAAAAAUCCCUCUUGGAACAAAUACAAAUGUAUAGCGAUGGCCCUUGAAAUGCUUCUUUGUUCCUCUGAACAAUCCUGAGUAAGCUUUGGUCAGGUUUCUCUGGACAAGAGAAAUGUGACCAAACCUGGAUAAAAGAAGAUUCAGUAGAACCCAGGAUGCCCAGUGUUCCUGUUCUUGUGAAGGCAAGCGAAAAGAUAAACAUCUAUGGAUCAUCUGAGACUGUGUUCACACUGUUUUUUCCACUUGGUUCUGGUCAUUUCUGCCUACUCUGAGAAAUGAUGCCCCAUUGAAGUUUACUCAUCUGCAUGAUUGGCCCA
Long non-coding RNA from Tympanuchus pallidicinctus (lesser prairie-chicken), 4189 nucleotides. RefSeq lists it as uncharacterized. The transcript is spliced from 3 exons. Lineage: Eukaryota; Metazoa; Chordata; Aves; Galliformes; Phasianidae. The record is from RefSeq and is a predicted model, not a curated record.